This 459-nucleotide ribosomal RNA is filed under the name uncultured bacterium. RNAcentral describes it as "partial 16S ribosomal RNA". It matches the Rfam family "Bacterial small subunit ribosomal RNA", at positions 338 to 795 of the family's 1533-position model. The record is from RNAcentral.
CCUACGGGAGGCAGCAGUGAGGAAUAUUGGUCAAUGGUCGGGAGACUGAACCAGCCAAGCCGCGUGAGGGAUGAAGGUACAGAGUAUCGUAAACCUCUUUUGUCAGGGAACAAAGGCGGGGACGUGUCCCCGGAUGAGUGUACCUGAAGAAAAAGCAUCGGCUAACUCCGUGCCAGCAGCCGCGGUAAUACGGAGGAUGCGAGCGUUAUCCGGAUUUAUUGGGUUUAAAGGGUGCGCAGGCGGUCUGUUAAGUAAGCGGUCAAACCCCGGGGCUCAACUCCGUCCCGCCGUUGAAACUGGCAGUCUCGAGUUGGAGAGAAGUAUGCGGAAUGCGCGGUGUAGCGGUGAAAUGCAGAGAUAUCGCGCAGAACUCCGAUUGCGAAGGCAGCAUGCCGGCUCCACACUGACGCUGAGGCACGAAAGCGUGGGUAUCGAACAGGAUUAGAUACCCCUGUAGUC